RNAcentral lists this ribosomal RNA (2903 nucleotides) under Escherichia coli. Its description in RNAcentral is "23S ribosomal RNA". It matches the Rfam family "Bacterial large subunit ribosomal RNA". The record is from RNAcentral. Lineage: Bacteria; Pseudomonadati; Pseudomonadota; Gammaproteobacteria; Enterobacterales; Enterobacteriaceae.
UUAAGCGACUAAGCGUACACGGUGGAUGCCCUGGCAGUCAGAGGCGAUGAAGGACGUGCUAAUCUGCGAUAAGCGUCGGUAAGGUGAUAUGAACCGUUAUAACCGGCGAUUUCCGAAUGGGGAAACCCAGUGUGAUUCGUCACACUAUCAUUAACUGAAUCCAUAGGUUAAUGAGGCGAACCGGGGGAACUGAAACAUCUAAGUACCCCGAGGAAAAGAAAUCAACCGAGAUUCCCCCAGUAGCGGCGAGCGAACGGGGAGCAGCCCAGAGCCUGAAUCAGUGUGUGUGUUAGUGGAAGCGUCUGGAAAGACGCGCGAUACAGGGUGACAGCCCCGUACACAAAAAUGCACAUGCUGUGAGCUCGAUGAGUAGGGCGGGACACGUGGUAUCCUGUCUGAAUAUGGGGGGACCAUCCUCCAAGGCUAAAUACUCCUGACUGACCGAUAGUGAACCAGUACCGUGAGGGAAAGGCGAAAAGAACCCCGGCGAGGGGAGUGAAAAAGAACCUGAAACCGUGUACGUACAAGCAGUGGGAGCACAGAGCAAUCUGUGUGACUGCGUACCUUUUGUAUAAUGGGUCAGCGACUUAUAUUCUGUAGCAAGGUUAACCGAAUAGGGGAGCCGAAGGGAAACCGAGUCUUAACUGGGCGUUAAGUUGCAGGGUAUAGACCCGAAACCCGGUGAUCUAGCCAUGGGCAGGUUGAAGGUUGGGUAACACUAACUGGAGGACCGAACCGACUAAUGUUGAAAAAUUAGCGGAUGACUUGUGGCUGGGGGUGAAAGGCCAAUCAAACCGGGAGAUAGCUGGUUCUCCCCGAAAGCUAUUUAGGUAGCGCCUCGUGAAUUCAUCUCCGGGGGUAGAGCACUGUUUCGGCAAGGGGGUCAUCCCGACUUACCAACCCGAUGCAAACUGCGAAUACCGGAGAAUGUUAUCACGGGAGACACACGGCGGGUGCUAACGUCCGUCGUGAAGAGGGAAACAACCCAGACCGCCAGCUAAGGUCCCAAAGUCAUGGUUAAGUGGGAAACGAUGUGGGAAGGCCCAGACAGCCAGGAUGUUGGCUUAGAAGCAGCCAUCAUUUAAAGAAAGCGUAAUAGCUCACUGGUCGAGUCGGCCUGCGCGGAAGAUGUAACGGGGCUAAACCAUGCACCGAAGCUGCGGCAGCGACGCUUAUGCGUUGUUGGGUAGGGGAGCGUUCUGUAAGCCUGUGAAGGUGUACUGUGAGGUAUGCUGGAGGUAUCAGAAGUGCGAAUGCUGACAUAAGUAACGAUAAAGCGGGUGAAAAGCCCGCUCGCCGGAAGACCAAGGGUUCCUGUCCAACGUUAAUCGGGGCAGGGUGAGUCGACCCCUAAGGCGAGGCCGAAAGGCGUAGUCGAUGGGAAACAGGUUAAUAUUCCUGUACUUGGUGUUACUGCGAAGGGGGGACGGAGAAGGCUAUGUUGGCCGGGCGACGGUUGUCCCGGUUUAAGCGUGUAGGCUGGUUUUCCAGGCAAAUCCGGAAAAUCAAGGCUGAGGCGUGAUGACGAGGCACUACGGUGCUGAAGCAACAAAUGCCCUGCUUCCAGGAAAAGCCUCUAAGCAUCAGGUAACAUCAAAUCGUACCCCAAACCGACACAGGUGGUCAGGUAGAGAAUACCAAGGCGCUUGAGAGAACUCGGGUGAAGGAACUAGGCAAAAUGGUGCCGUAACUUCGGGAGAAGGCACGCUGAUAUGUAGGUGAAGUCCCUCGCGGAUGGAGCUGAAAUCAGUCGAAGAUACCAGCUGGCUGCAACUGUUUAUUAAAAACACAGCACUGUGCAAACACGAAAGUGGACGUAUACGGUGUGACGCCUGCCCGGUGCCGGAAGGUUAAUUGAUGGGGUUAGCGCAAGCGAAGCUCUUGAUCGAAGCCCCGGUAAACGGCGGCCGUAACUAUAACGGUCCUAAGGUAGCGAAAUUCCUUGUCGGGUAAGUUCCGACCUGCACGAAUGGCGUAAUGAUGGCCAGGCUGUCUCCACCCGAGACUCAGUGAAAUUGAACUCGCUGUGAAGAUGCAGUGUACCCGCGGCAAGACGGAAAGACCCCGUGAACCUUUACUAUAGCUUGACACUGAACAUUGAGCCUUGAUGUGUAGGAUAGGUGGGAGGCUUUGAAGUGUGGACGCCAGUCUGCAUGGAGCCGACCUUGAAAUACCACCCUUUAAUGUUUGAUGUUCUAACGUUGACCCGUAAUCCGGGUUGCGGACAGUGUCUGGUGGGUAGUUUGACUGGGGCGGUCUCCUCCUAAAGAGUAACGGAGGAGCACGAAGGUUGGCUAAUCCUGGUCGGACAUCAGGAGGUUAGUGCAAUGGCAUAAGCCAGCUUGACUGCGAGCGUGACGGCGCGAGCAGGUGCGAAAGCAGGUCAUAGUGAUCCGGUGGUUCUGAAUGGAAGGGCCAUCGCUCAACGGAUAAAAGGUACUCCGGGGAUAACAGGCUGAUACCGCCCAAGAGUUCAUAUCGACGGCGGUGUUUGGCACCUCGAUGUCGGCUCAUCACAUCCUGGGGCUGAAGUAGGUCCCAAGGGUAUGGCUGUUCGCCAUUUAAAGUGGUACGCGAGCUGGGUUUAGAACGUCGUGAGACAGUUCGGUCCCUAUCUGCCGUGGGCGCUGGAGAACUGAGGGGGGCUGCUCCUAGUACGAGAGGACCGGAGUGGACGCAUCACUGGUGUUCGGGUUGUCAUGCCAAUGGCACUGCCCGGUAGCUAAAUGCGGAAGAGAUAAGUGCUGAAAGCAUCUAAGCACGAAACUUGCCCCGAGAUGAGUUCUCCCUGACUCCUUGAGAGUCCUGAAGGAACGUUGAAGACGACGACGUUGAUAGGCCGGGUGUGUAAGCGCAGCGAUGCGUUGAGCUAACCGGUACUAAUGAACCGUGAGGCUUAACCU